GCUGUUCAACAUGGGUAUAAAAAUGGGAUUUUGGAAUCUGACUCACUGGCUCUUAUUGAUGGUCUAAAAGGGAGAGAAGAAUCGGGCUUUGACAAUUUUGCCUAUUAUCAAUGAAAUCAGAAGCAAGUCUUCUCUGUUCUUGUUUCUGAUGGACUUACUGCCCUCCCCCCGGGUAGUUGGUCUUUAUGGUUGGGGGAAGUUCUUUUUGGCUGGGGUUGGUUUAGCUUGAGCUUUUUCCCUUUUUAUUGUUCUGUCUUUUCUGUAGCUUUCCUUUUGCUGGACUCUGUCUGGUUUUUCCUUUGCAAUGAAUGAGAUUUCGACCAAAAAAAAAAGAUCUAAUGUACUUGACUCCCAGGCCUUUCGAGCAUCAUGAGUGGAAGCUUCAUGUUCUUAAAAAUUAGAAAUUUUUUUUAAAAUAAAAUAAAAGAACUAAACACGAAGAUUGAAGAAUGUAAUAUACCUGGCACCCAGUUAACCUGAUCUAUCCAUGAACCAGAGUAAGUAGGACGCCCUGACCUGCGAAAUUGAGCAAACAUUUCACACAUAAAACAAUGGAAUUCACAAUUAAAAAGGUGCAGGCCAAAUGAAAAAAGCAAUGAUGUCUUCAGCACCUGCUUACACCAAUGACCUCUAUGCCUUUGGACACCGCAGCUUUGCAUAUAGCAGAACCAACAAAACCGCUGCCUCCUAAUACGACAACCUACUAAAGGGAAGCAUACGACAUCAUUCAUAGGCACAAAAAAAUACCCAACACAACAAAUAUCUGAAGCUCAAGCUGAGGAAUUAAAAACGAAAAAUUGAUUUAUAAACUAAAUAAAUGUGAAAUUGUUUGCAAGUUGUGUGGUGCUUUGGCUUUGGCUUUGGCUUACCCGUUCAGGCUUAACAUCAGCCACAACAUCUAUGGUGGCGGAAACGGAAUUGAAGGCGUCCUUGUUCACAUUUGCCUCUGCAUAUCUGCAUUUUAUGUUGAACCUGCAUAACCAAAUUCAGAUUUCAAGAUUCUUAGCAGAAGAACACCAAUUUGUUAAGGCAAGGCAAUAACCAAAUAAAACCCUGUCAAAGUUCCAGCCGAAGCGAGAGAGAGAGAGAGAGAGAGAGAGAGGGAGAGAGAGAGGAGAGAACGAACCGGGUCUGGAAAAGCGAGUUGGGCCUGGAGCCCGCUGGGAAGGAAGCUCCGCGCAGAGGAGAGGGAAGUGUGAAAAUGGCAGGGAGGUGCAAAAACGACGCCAUUUGACUGAAACAGACGACACUCGCUCAGCUCCGUAUGCUGACUUUGAGGUGCAGAGCGUCGCGUAAUUCAGCCCCAUGUGGUGUGUUUUAGCCUUUGGACGGCUGAUAUGAAAUGCUUGUGGGACCACAAUUUUGUAGUUUGUAGAUGGGAGAAGCGAAAACAGCGCAAAAUUUGGGGAAAUAGCCCAAAAUACCAUCUUUUUUUAAAAAAUUUGGAACUAUCACCUAUAAAUAUAAAAUUAUUGUACCCUUAUUGCUGAUUUUUCACAAGUUCAGAAAUUUGUUCUCUCAGCUCACACAACUCUCUCUCUCUGGCACAACUCUCUUUCUCUUUGGUAUCUGUCUAUCACAGCUCUCUAGGUCUCUCUUGGCUCUCUCUAUCUUGGCUCUCUCUCUAGCACAACUCUCUGUCUCUCUCUCCAGAUCAAUCAGAAUUCGGAUCAACCCCUCAUUGUCCGUCUCUUUCCACAAAACCACUCUCUAUUCGUGAAACCAACCGCGAAUCUCACAGAAGUUUCCUUCUUCAGCUCAAAAAGCAUACGCCAUGAUUUGAAUCACCAGGAAUUAAUCGGACCACCCCAACCAGGUUCAUUUCUCUUUUGCCUUUUUCUGAUUCGACCUAUUUGGAAUUGGAUCUCGAUCAAUUUUCAAAUUUGAUUUCAGUUUUUUAGGUUGGUUCUUAUAAUUGAAUUUGAAUUGAAUCUGAUUCGGUAUUUUGUUUAAAGAAUGGCGUGGUUCAGUGGGAAAGUCUCUUUGGGGAACUUCCCCGAUCUCGCCGGGGCAGUGAAUAAGCUCCAGGAGAGCGUCAAGAACAUCGAGAAGAACAAGCUGAUGAUAAUGAAGCUGAUGUUAAAGGGCAACAUCUGAGCUCAGGGGAAAAUGCGUCUGACUCUUCAGUGAUUGAAUUGGAGAAGGUGAAGAUGGAGAUGAAGAUGAUGGAAGCUGCAUUGCAAGGUGCUGCAAGACAGGCCCAGGUACAUGAUGAAUGAUUAGGUAGCAUCUUAUUUGAGAGCUCAUAAGAUCACAACCAUUUAUUAUUAUCCCUGUUCAUUUAGUGGAACACUUGAGACAAUACUACUGAACUUCUUGACUGGAUUUCUUUAAUUUAGAAGCGCUGUCUACAUAUAUCGGAGGUUUAUGAAGUUUGCUUAGUUAACCUGAACACCUUUAGUCUUGCAGAUGGUGUGUGUCUGUGUCUGUGUCUGUUGAUUUAGGAAAAUAGAAACAUUUUGUAUUUCUGUAUAUGGUAAUUAAGUUAAAGCAGCAACAAAUACAAGAGAAGAAUUAUUAUACUCUUUCUUCAUUGUGGAUCUCUCUGGGUGCAGCUAUGUUACAUUGUUAAUGUCUGUUCAAUUGUAUGUAUAUCUACAGUUCUGAACGUCUGAUAUAUUUGAUUCUUUUUCUAGGCAAAAGCUGAUGAGAUUGCAAAGUUUAUGAAUAAAAAUGAACAAUUAAAAUCUGCGAUCGAGGAUUUGAAGGUAUGCAUUUUGUAAUAUUUUUAUACCUUCAUUUGAGUAGAUAAAAUAAUGGCUUGAUCAUGCAUGUUUUACUUUGAUUUUUCACUCUUGGUGUAUAAUGCACUUGUAUUUGCUACCAUCUUCCAUUUAUAACCCAGCAUAUAGGGAAAUCACGGAAAUUCUUAUAGGGAGGUAGUUGCCCCCGUGGCUUGUCACUGAAUGAAGCAUCCGUGGAGAAUUGUUGGAUGAAAAUAUCUUUGCUAUAUUCAUGCUACUUCCUCUUGCGGGUGGUUUAUGUUGAGUUAAUAUUUAAAUUUUAAAAUGCAUUCUUUUUUCAAUUUUGAUUUCAACGUUUUCUUCAAAAUUGUUUGUGUGUAAAUGCAAAAUAAAGGCAUAGAUUCUAAUUGGACUAUUCAUUUUGCCCAAAAGCAUUCCUGAUGCUUGAUCUUUGUCAGUGUAACAAUCAUGUUAUGGAAUUAUAAGUUUGCACAUACAAUUUGAUGGUUGUCUAAUUAUAUGUUUCAUGUUUUGGAAAAUUUCUGGUAUUUCUUGAAACCAACCAUGGUUGACUAGUUCACAUUCUCAUUAUCAAUUUUUUUUCUUUCCCAAUUUGCUUUAUCAGCCAUAUAGUAUUGCGAUUUUAAUAAUUAUUUCUCUUAUAGAUGUUCACAUAUUAACUGGCGAAAAUAAUUGAACAGAGAAAAUCCAAUGAUGCAGAAGUCGAGUCACUGCGAGAGGAAUACCAUCAAAGGGUUGCAACACUUGAAAGGAAGGUAGGUCUUCUCAUAAAGUCUUGUUUAUAAUCGUGCUUGGAUUGAUCUAGGUGUUAUAUGUGCCCGUUAUGUUUUUGAUGAAAUUGGUACUUGCCUAUUUUUAAUUCAGCUCCUGAUAAUUGGAGGGGCUAUGCCAACUUAUGAUUGCAGGUGUAUGCUCUUACAAAGGAAAGGGACACGCUUCGGCGGGAGCAGAAUAAGAAAAGUGAUGCAGCUGCUCUUCUGAAGGAAAAGGAUGAAAUAAUUAAUCAAGUUAUGGCUGAAGGUCUCUUUCUGUCCCUGUCUGUCUCUGUUUCUCUUGAGAAGCUCAAUAUGUUCUACAUAUUUUGUGCCUCAUAGUGAAUUUCAACGUAGCCAAUGUUCUAUUGUGGAUGCAAGGAGGGUUUCUUUAUGCAAUCAUAUCAAUAAUUAUGGAAAUCCCUUCAUUUUUGCAUUUUUAUGUACCAGGUGAAGAGCUUUCAAAAAAGCAGGCUGCUCAAGAAGGACAGAUUAGGAAAUUAAGGGCUCAGGUAUGCUAGCCGGUUUAUUCAUUGUCUGAUUUUGUCAUUUUUUAAUCCUUUCUCUGCUAGGUAUUCUUAUAUUUUUUUCUCUGAAUACUAGAUCAGAGAGUUUGAAGAAGAGAAGAAAGGGUUGAUUACUAAACUUCAGGUAAUUCAUUUAUGUUAGAAUCUUUAAAAUUGUGGUUCUCUGAUUUCGUUUGAUAAAGACAACUCUUUCAGUCAUCAUAAAAUUUGAAAUGACAUUGAAGUUACAGCACAUAAAUUGAUGAAGCACUUGUUUUCCUUUUUUUCUCAAAGCUGCUUGGCCGAAAGCUUCCAUAUUGGAUAAUGGAUUAUCCCACAAAGGAUUUCUUGAUCAUUUUUCUGUUUUUAUGUCACCUGCUUUCUUAGUAGUCAAUUUCAUAAUAUCUUAAAACAGUAAACUAUUUGAACCCAGGAACAUUAUUAUAAUAGUUUAUAGGGAAAUAGCUCAAAAUACCACCCAUUUUAUAAUUUUUUGUCAAAAUACCAUCCCUCUCCAAAAAUUUUAAAACUGUCACAUAUAAAAGAAAAUGGUUUUCCUCUUUGCUAAUUGAGAAUCAUGUGCAGUUAUGAUUUCAGAUCUGUAGAUAACCUGUUGUUGCUGAUAUUGCUACCCGGGAGGACAACAGAACAAGUUGGAAAAUGUGCAAGAAGGGAGAGCUAACUCAUACAACGAAGAACAAAUUGAUGAAGUUAAGAUCAAAUUAGUAGAAUUUGUGAGCUCUCCCUUAUUUAUAAUUAUUGGUAGGAAGUAUGUAUGUAAUAGAGCAAAGAUUGGUUGACUAUGUAAUAACAAUUGAAUUGUCAAGUUUUAUGAAAGAAAUAAUUUUUGCUUCUUGGGUUCGGUGGCGAUUUAUUUUUCAUGUCUAAAUUGUAGUCUGUAAUGGAUGUGUGUGUAUUGUAUGUAGAUUGACUUAAUAUUGCUGUCCUAUUGCCUGUGUAUUGUACUAAUAUUGCCUGUGUAUUGUAUACAUAUUGUAUGCAUAUUGCCAUCGUAUUGCAUGUAUAUUGUAAUGCUAUUGCUAUCGUAUUGCCAUUAUAUUGCCCUAAUAUUGCCUCUCUAGUGUAUGUAUAUUGACUACGGCUCAUCAAUGGGUUUACGGUUUGGGCCAUAUUGCAUUCAAAAAGAAGACGAGGAGGAGAAAGAAACAACAUACCUUUCAAAAACAGGCAGUCAGGUGCAUCAUAAUUGCAUCGUAAGACAUUGUAAGAAAUUAUUUUAAAAAAUAAUAACAACUAAAAAAUAAUUUACAAAAAAAGGAAGGUAUGAAUAAAGAGACAGAGAGCGAAUAAGGGGAGAAAGAGGCAGAACGAAGCUAGAGAGAGACAGAGAGAGAGCUGCGCUACAGAAAGAGAGCAAAGAGAGAGUUGCACUAGAGAGAGAGAGAGAGAGAGAGCCAAGAGAGAGAUAGAGAGCUGCGAUAGACAGAUACCAAAGAGAGAGAGAGAGAUGUGCCACAGAGAGAGAGCCGAGUGAGCUAAGAGAGAA
This 5470-nucleotide long non-coding RNA is filed under the name Prunus persica (peach). RNAcentral's name for it is "long non-coding RNA (PPER_LNC005088)". The record is from RNAcentral. Lineage: Eukaryota; Viridiplantae; Streptophyta; Magnoliopsida; Rosales; Rosaceae.